This 253-nucleotide ribosomal RNA is filed under the name uncultured bacterium. Its description in RNAcentral is "partial 16S ribosomal RNA". It matches the Rfam family "Bacterial small subunit ribosomal RNA", at positions 524 to 776 of the family's 1533-position model. The record is from RNAcentral.
UACGGAGGGGGCUAGCGUUGUUCGGAAUUACUGGGCGUAAAGCGCACGUAGGCGGCUUUGCAAGUUAGAGGUGAAAGCCCGGGGCUCAACUCCGGAAUUGCCUUUAAAACUGCAUCGCUAGAAUUGUGGAGAGGUAAGUGGAAUUCCUGGUGUAGCGGUGAAAUGCGCAGAUAUCAGGAGGAACACCUAUUGCGAAGGCAGCUCGCUGGGACGUAACUGACACUGAGACGCGAAAGCGUGGGGAGCAAACAGG